UGUGUUCCUGUUAGAGAUAGAAUACAUCAUCCGAAUAUUUUUUUUUGCCGGUGUUUGUGGGAUGAUAAUUUCUGCCCUCCCUCAUUUGGCCAUCUACCACACAGUGGAUUAAAAAGUGAGUGAUAGUGGUAAAAUUAAAUUCAAAUAUCCGAAAAAGAAACAGUUGGACCAGCAAAGAAAGAAAAAGUGUACUAAGAUAGUGAAAACUAAAGUGAAUGUCAAUUGGUGCCAACAAUUUUGGAAUAAAAGAACAUAGCAGAUAACAAGUAAAGUUUGAUUCCCGGCGGCCCGAAUUAAAUUAUGGAGAGCGGGGCCGCCGCCCAAAAAAAAAAAAAAAAACAAAAUUUUUGAAAUUUAAUAAAAUUCAAAAACAGAAAAAAUUUGAAAUUAAAUAAAAUUCAAAAAAAAAUUUUAGAAUACAAAGUUGAAAUUAAAUAAAAUUUAAAAACUGAAAAAAAAACCAAUGAAGAAAAAUUUGAAAUUAAAGGAAAUUUAAAAAAAAAAAAAACUUGAAAGAAAAGGAAAUUUAUACGGGAACCAAAUCGAGAAGAAAACAAAACAAUCAAUUUAUAAAUUAUGGAAAAGAAAAAGGAACUAUAAAGAAAGUAAAUUUGGCCCACAACCUAGACGUACAUCUCCAUAUCAUAUAUUUCUAUGUACCUAACCGGUGGAUCUUUUUGUGUUUGUGAUUGUCCUAUAUUUAAGUUUUUUUCGAAAUUUAACGAAUUAAUUCUUUAAGUAAUUCAUCGGCGUGGAAGUUAAUUUUUUUUGUUUAAUUCCAUAAUCUUUUUUGUAUUUUUUUUAUUGUGAGGUGCGAAAAAAAACGGUUGGUGUAAGUUUCGUGUUCGGUCCCGUAAGUUUUUGUUGUAUACUGUCCUAAAAGAUACCUCCACAGAGCUCUUUAGGGGUAGGGAAUUAGG
This is a long non-coding RNA of Eupeodes corollae, 920 nucleotides long. RefSeq lists it as uncharacterized. The record is from RefSeq and is a predicted model, not a curated record. The transcript has 3 exons. NCBI's taxonomy places the organism in Eukaryota, Metazoa, Arthropoda, Insecta, Diptera, Syrphidae.